Non-coding RNA from Callithrix jacchus (white-tufted-ear marmoset), 3672 nucleotides. NCBI's taxonomy places the organism in Eukaryota, Metazoa, Chordata, Mammalia, Primates, Cebidae. The record is from RefSeq and is a predicted model, not a curated record.
UAUAAAACUGUAAGACUCUGAGGUUCUUCGGGUCAGAAGGGAUUUUAAAGGUCAUCUAUCUAAACAUUGCUCAAUGCUUGAAUCUUUUCUGUAGCAACCUCACUGAAUGGCCUUCCAGCCUCUGACUUGUACCUCCAGUAACAGGGGUACCUGAAUCUCGGCUCACUGCAACCUCUGCAUCGCAGGUUCAAGCAAUUCUCCUGCCUCAGACACCCGAGCAGCUGGGACUAUGGGCGCCUGGCACCACACCCGACUAAUUUUUGUAUAUUUAGUAGAGAUGAGGUUUCACCAUGUUGUCCAGGCUGGUGUGAAAUUCCCAACCUCAAGCCAUCUGCCUUCCUUGGGCAACAGAUAUACUGGUGAAUAAUAUCAUUCAACAAUCCUAAUCUUAGCAGAAAUGUCUAGGAAUGAAGAACAGAAAAAGAUAUUGUAUCAUUUGAGAUGGUUUAGCCUGCAAAUAACAGAUAGUCCCAACUCAGCAGGUUUAAACAAUAAAGAGGAUUUCUUAUUUUACUUAAAAAUAAUUCCCCAGAUGGGGCAGCUCUAGAGUUUGCAGAUUCAUCCACCACAUAGUCUUAGUGUCAUGCAGCAGGCACACAGGCUCAAUUCUAGGACAGCUUUGAUGGAACACUGAAGGUGUGCUACCCGGGAGGCUGCGCCCGGCUAGAGAAUGAUGAUGAGAACAGGUAUUUUAUCCAGUAGGGCAAUCUUUGUCUUUUAACUGGACCACCUAGUCUAUUUACAAGUAUUUAUAAUAUACUCAAAUUUAUAUCUGGUAUUUUAUUUGAUAUUUUCUACCAGUCUUUCUAGUCUAUGUAAAUUUAAACAGCAACAGAAUUUUUUUGGAGACAGAGUCUCACUCUGUUGUCCAGAGCAAAGUGCAGUGGUGAGAUCUCAGCUCACUGUAACCUCUGCCUCUUGAGUCCAGGUGAUUCUUCUGCCUCAGCUUCCUGAGUAGCUGGAACUACAGGCAUGUGCCACCAUGCCUGGCUCAUUUUUAUGUAUUUAUUUAUUUUUAUGUAUUUAUUUUUGAGAUGGAGUCUUGCUCUGUUGCCCAGGCUGGAGUGCAGUGGAGCCAUCUCAGCUCACUGCAGCCUCUCCAUCCCAGGUUCAAGCAAUUCUCCUGCCUCAGCUUCCCGAGUAGCUGGAACUACAGGUGCCUGGCACCACACCCGACUAAUUUUUAUAUUUUUAGUAGAGACGAUAUUUCACCAUUUUGGCCAGGCUGGUCUCAAACUCCCGACCUCAAGUGAUUUGCCUGACUUGACCUCCCAAAGUGCCUGGGAUUACAGGUAAUUUUUGUAUUCUUAGUAGAGAUGGGGAUUCUCUGUGUUGACCAGGCUGGUCUCGAGCUCCUGACCUCUAGUGAUCCACCCACCUCAGCCUCCCAAAGUGUUGGGAUUACAGGCAUGAUCCAUUAUACCUGGCCUUUAAACAAAUUUUAUUGAUACAUAAUGUGCGUUAUGUAUGGAAUACACGUGAUAUUUUGAUACAUGCAUAUUUGACUUGAGAUUUGAUUGAUGUCUGUCUACAGACAUCUCCCAUGAGUUUAGACUCCCCAGCCGGGUGCAGUAGCUCAUGUCUCUAAUCCCAGCACUUUGAGAGGCCAAGGCAGAUGGAUCACGAGGUCAGGAGUUCGAGACCAGCCUGACAAACAUGGUGGAACCCCGUCUGUACUAAAAAUACAAAAAUUAGCCGGGCAUGGUAUCGUGCUACUGUAGCAUGGUAUCCCAGCUAUUUGGGAGGCUGAGGCAGGAGAAUCACUUGAACCCAGGAGGCGGAAAUUGUGGGGAGCUGAGAGUGUGGCAUUGCACUCCAGCCUGGGUGACAGAGCAAGUCUCAAAAAAAAAAAAAAAAAAAAAAAAAUCCCCGGCUAUUAUCUGUUCAUACAGGGCCUCUGCUCAAAUAUCUCCUCUCGUUCUGGAACUCCAAUUAGACAUGUUAGAUCUUAUCACUCUACUAUGUGAACUUGAACUUUUUUUUGUUUUGUUUUGAGACGGAGUCCACACCAUUGCCCAGGCUGGAGUGCAGUGGUGCAAUCUCCGCUCACUGCAACCUCCACUUCCCAGAUUCUAGUGAUUCUCCUGCCUCAGCCUCCCAAGUAGCUGGGAUUACAGGCACCUGCUACCACGCCCUGCUAAUUUUUUGUAUUUUUAGUAGAGAUGGGGUUUCUCUCUGUUGGCCAAGCUGGUCUUGAACUCCUGUCCUUGUGAUCCACCUGCCUCGGCCUCCCAAAGUGCUGGGAUUACAGUUGUGAGCCACCAUGCCCAGCCAAAUUUUAACUUUUUAAAUAUUUUCCAACUUUUUGUCUCUCUGAGUUACACUCUACAUAAUAUCUCCUGAUCUACAUCCACAUCUUUGAUUCUCUCUGCAGGUGUUUCUGACCUUCAGCUAAAUACUUCCACUGAGAGUAUUUUGUAUUUAUUUUUUUUUUUUUUUGUAGAGACAAGGUCUCAUUAUGACCUCGAACUCCUAGGCUCAAGUGAUCUGCCUCAGCCUCCCAAAGUGCUGCGAUUACAGGCAUGAGCCGCUGGACACAGCUAGUUUUUAAAAUGCUUACAUUUUUAUUGACGUAUAACGUACAUACCAAAAGGUGUGCAAUCAUCAAACCUGCAGCUCAGUUUUCAUUUUUGAGUUUUUGAAAUUUUGUUGUUUUUGUUAUUUUGAGACAGAAUCUUGCUCUGUUGCCCAGGCUGGAGUGCAGUGGUGCGAUCUUGGCUCACCGCAACCUCCGCCUUCCAGGUUCAAGCAAUUCUCCUGCCUCAGCCUCCCAAGUAACCGGGAUUACAGGCGUGUGCCACCAUGCCCAGCUAAUUUCUGUAUUUUUAGUAGAGAUGGGGUUUCACCAUGUUGGCCAGGCUGGUCCAGAACUGCUGACCUCAGGUGAUCUGCCCACCUUGGCCUCCCAAAGUGGUGGGAUUACAGGCACGAGCCACUGUGCCAGGCCAAGUUGUUGAAAUUUUUAUAUAUUCUAGAUAUAAUUAUUUUGUCAGAUAUGUGUUUUAUCUACAUUUUCUCCCAUUAUGUGGCUUGUUUCUUCAUAUUCUUAGGGGUAGCUUUUUUUUUUUUUUUGUAAGACAGCAUCUCACUCUGUCACCCAGGCUGGAGUGCAGUGGCACAAUCUUGGCUCAAUCUUGGCCCGCGACCUCCACCGACCAGCCCGGAUUUAAGUGAUUCUCCUGUCUUAGCCUUCUACAUAGCUGAGAUUACAGACGUAGGCUACCAUGCCUGGCUAAUUUUUUUAUUUUUAGUAAAGACGGAGUUUCAUCAUGUUGGCCAGGCUGGUCUCAAACUCCUGACCUCAAGUGAUCCACCUGCCUUGGCCUCUGGGAUUACAGGCAUGAACCACCGCACCCAGCUUAGUGGUAGCUUUUCAUUAGAAGUUUUUCAUUUUUAUAAAGGCUAAUUUCUACAUUUUUUUUUUUGAGACAGAGUCUCACUCUGCUGCCAGGCUGGGAUGCAGUGGCACAAUCUCGGCUCACUGCAACCUCCGUUCAAGGGUUCAAGGGAUUCCCCUGCCUCAGCUUCCUGAGUAGCUGGGACGACAGCCCCGGCUUAGCAGAAUUCCUGUUGACAGAAGUAAACGUCUUCACUCAAGGAUCUUCUCGGUACAGACUGGGCUGCCACUCAAACCAAACACUGGGAAUCCCAGGCUGGAUCCUCAACUUUCAG